GAGUUUGAUCGUGGCUCAGAACGAACGCUGGCGGCAGGCUUAACACAUGCAAGUCGAACGCGUGUAGCAAUACACGAGUGGCGCACGGGUGAGUAACGCGUGGAUAUCUGCCUUUUGGUUCGGAAUAACCCCGGGAAACUGGGGCUAAUACCGGAUGGUUCCUUCGGGAUAAAGAUUUAUCGCCAAAAGAUGAGUCCGCGUACGAUUAGCUAGUUGGUGAGGUAAUGGCUCACCAAGGCGACGAUCGUUAGCUGGUCUGAGAGGACGAUCAGCCACACUGGGACUGAGACACGGCCCAGACUCCUACGGGAGGCAGCAGUGGGGAAUAUUGGACAAUGGGGGGCAACCCUGAUCCAGCCAUGCCGCGUGAGUGAUGAAGGCCUUCGGGUUGUU
RNAcentral lists this ribosomal RNA (393 nucleotides) under uncultured Alphaproteobacteria bacterium. Its description in RNAcentral is "bacterial SSU rRNA". It matches the Rfam family "Bacterial small subunit ribosomal RNA", at positions 9 to 427 of the family's 1533-position model. The record is from RNAcentral. Lineage: Bacteria; Pseudomonadati; Pseudomonadota; Alphaproteobacteria.